Molecule: ribosomal RNA, 486 nt
Filed under: uncultured bacterium
Lineage: Bacteria
Description: partial 16S ribosomal RNA
Rfam family: Bacterial small subunit ribosomal RNA
Source: RNAcentral
ACUCAAAGGAAUUGACGGGGACCCGCACAAGCGGUGGAGCAUGUGGUUUAAUUCGACGGUAAGCGGGGAACCUUACCAGGUCUUGACAUGCAACUACACGGUCUAUGAAAGUAGACCUUCUUCGAGAGUGUUGCACAGGUGCUGCACGGUUGUCGUCAGCUCGUGCCGUGAGGUGUUCGCUUAAGUGCGAAAACGAGCGCAACCCCUAUCGUUAGUUACAAGUGUCUAACGAGACUGCCGGCGUUUAAGCCGGAGGAAGGUGGGGAUGACGUCAAAUCAGCGUGGCUCUUACGACCUGGGCCACACACGUGCUACAAUGGGUAGGAACAAAGGGACGCCAAGGAGUAAUCCGGAGCAAAUCCUAUAAAACUACCCUCAGUUCGGAUCGUGGGCUGCAACUCGCCCACGUGAAGCUGGAAUCGCUAGUAACCGUAGAUCAGCCUCGCUACGGUGAAUACGUUCUCGGGUUUUGUACACACCGCCCGU